AAGAGUCCACUUCCCCACAUAUCAAACAACUAAUAAGAAGCUACAAGGAGGUUUUUUCAAUUGCCACAAGGCUUACCACCUUCACGGAGCAGGGAACAUGCCAUCAAUCUUCAACCAGGUAUGGCCCCCAUCACUUGCAAACUGUAUCGAUACUCUUACACUCAGAAGAACGAUAUGGUCAAACUAUUAAAAGAGAUGCUGGAUGCUGAGAUUAUUCGUCCUAGUAUCAGCCCUUUUUGCAGCCCAGUUCUAUUGGUUAAAAAGAAUUAUGGAGGGUGGUGUUUUUGCAUGGACUACAGGGCCUUGAACAAGGCAACAGUACUGGAUCGUUAUCCUAUUCCAGUCAUUGAAGAGUUCUUGGAUGAGCUGAGUCGAGAAACAAUCUUCUCUAAAAUUGACCUCAAGUCUGGAUAUCACCAGAUACGUAUGCACACGACAGAUGUGGAAAAAACGACAUUUAGAACACAUGAAGGUUUACAGCCCCACAUAAGAGUCCCACAUCGAACAUCUGGAAUUAGUUCUUAACAUCUUGUUGCACAGUCAGUUCUAUGCCAACGAGAAAAUAUGUUGCUUUGGGAGCUCCAAAAUUGCAUACUUGGGCCAUGGAGCGUCAGCAGAUCCAACAAAAGUGGCAACAAUGGAGGUUCAUGGCAGGGUAUGGCAAGAUAGCAAAGCCGUUAACUGAGCUCUUAAAGAAAGGUAAAUUUGAAUGUAAUAUGGCAACCAUCUAUGCAUUUGAAAACUUGAAGCAAAGCGUUACACGGCUGCCAACUUUGUCACUACCCGAUUUUGAUGAACCUUUUAUCAUUGAAACGGAUGCAUCUGGUUCUGGAAUUGGAGUAGUUCUGUCUCAAAGGAAAAAUCCCAUAACAUUCAUCAGUCAAGGGUUUUCAACCAAAGGGCGUGUGAAAAAUGUUUAUGAGUGGGAGUUGUUAGCCAUAGUUUUUGCAGUGGACAAAUGGAAGCAUUAACUCAUUGGGAAUGCAUAAAGUUGUGACUGAGUUUGGAUUUUAUUGAAGGAUUACUCAUCUCCAAAGGAUUUGAUGUAAUCCUAGUCGUGGUGGAUAGGCUCAACAAAUAUGGAUAUGUUUUGGCUCUCAAGCACCCAUUCACUACGAGAAUAGUAUCAAAAGUUUUUAUCAAGGUGAUUGUUAGGAUCCAUGGCUUUCCUGAGAUUGUGGUCUCUGAUAGAGCUAAGAUACUUGUUAGCAGUUUUUGGGAUGAUAUUUUAGAGCUCAUGGGACAGCGCUGCACAAGAGUACCACUUAUCACCCCUAGACAGACGGACAAACAGAAGUGCUCAACAGGUGUUUAGAAACGUAUUUCUGCUGUUUUGUUAAUAGUAAACCAAAAACUUGAGCUCAAUGGAUGAUGUGGGCAGAGUACUCAUACAACACAUCAUACCAUUCCACCAUCCAGAUGACUCCUUAUCAAGCAAUUUAUGGUCGUGAACCUCCCAAGUUGAUCAGGUUUGGGAUUACUCCCACUGCCAAUGCUCAUGUGGAGGACUUACUACAGGAGAGAGAUGAUUUGGUGACAAUGCUUUGAGAGAACUGCACGAUGCACAAGCAAGGAUGCAGAAGGCAGCGAACAAGCAUAGGCGUGAGUUUGAGUUUAAGGUGGGUGAUUGGGUCUAAUUGAAGUUGUGUCAUUACAGGCAAGUAUCUAUGGCUCAAUGAAGAAACGAGAAGCUAGCCCCUAGAUUCUUUGGACCCUACAUGGUGACUAAGCGCAUUGGUAUUGUGGCUUACAAAUUACAGCUCCCAAAUUUCAAUCUAGGGAUUUGAUCCCUUUUACUCCUUGAUCUUCUUUGGUAUCUCCCUUGUUCCAUAUAAAGGAUUCAAUUCAUAACAUCUGCAAAACUCAACAGUGAUGGUAUGCGUAAUCUAUAUCUCCAGUCUAAUCUUCAACGGGUUCCACUGAUGAUCUUUUACAUCAUUUAUGAUGUGAUCAUGGAUGGAGCUAAGGUGGAGGAGCUUGUAGCUGAGCUUGAACCUAAGGAAUAUGUAUCUGAGCUUGAACCCGAGGAGCUUGUAGCUGAGGAACCAUUACUUGUACCUAAAAGACCAAGGACUCGAGCGAAAGCUAAGCAGCUGAGGAAUGCAUUUAAUGGGCUAAUUCAGGAGCUUAUGGCCAAAGAGAGCAUGAGAAAUUAUAUUGGGGAUGAUAUCUAUCAAAUUCAGCCUACUUUGAGCCUAAUUCAAGUCCAAGAAAGCCCAAAAUAAUGACUUUAUUUUGUGGUCAAAGAGGAGUGACAAAAAUAGAGUGAUUCUCUUCACCUUGGGAAAGGAAACAGUAAGGGGGUGUUAUUCAAGGAAAGAUUUUAAUGGAUUUCAAAGUAUUAGUAAAUUUCAGAGUCCAAUAGUUUUACAAAUGCAUUGAAGGUGGAUUUGGAUGUCAUCAUGAUGGUUUUGAAAGUCAU
Molecule: non-coding RNA, 2422 nt
Organism: Camelina sativa (false flax)
Lineage: Eukaryota; Viridiplantae; Streptophyta; Magnoliopsida; Brassicales; Brassicaceae
Source: RefSeq, a predicted model, not a curated record